Molecule: ribosomal RNA, 522 nt
Filed under: uncultured Glomus
Lineage: Eukaryota; Fungi; Glomeromycota; Glomeromycetes; Glomerales; Glomeraceae
Description: SSU rRNA
Rfam family: Eukaryotic small subunit ribosomal RNA
Source: RNAcentral
AGCAGCCGCGGUAAUUCCAGCUCCAAUAGCGUAUAUUAAAGUUGUUGCAGUUAAAAAGCUCGUAGUUGAAUUUCGGGGUCAGUAGGUUGGUCAUGCCUCCGGUAUGUACUGGUCUCACUGAUUCCUCCUUCCUGAUGAGCCGUAAUGCCAUUAAUUUGGUGUUGCGGGGAAUCUGGACUGUUACUUUGAAACAAUUAGAGUGUUUAAAGCAAGCUAACGCUUGAAUACAUUAGCAUGGAAUAAUGGAAUAGGACGUUCGAUCCUAUUUUGUUGGUUUCUAGGAUUGACGUAAUGAUUAAUAGGGAUAGUUGGGGGCAUUAGUAUUCAAUUGUCAGAGGUGAAAUUCUUGGAUUUAUUGAAGACUAACUACUGCGAAAGCAUUUGCCAAGGAUGUUUUCAUUAAUCAAGAACGAAAGUUAGGGGAUCGAAGACGAUCAGAUACCGUCGUAGUCUUAACCAUAAACUAUGCCGACUAGGGAUCGGAUGAUGUUAAUUUUUUAAUGACUCAUUCGGCGCCUUACG